Drosophila mojavensis is the source of this 587-nucleotide long non-coding RNA. RefSeq lists it as uncharacterized. The transcript is spliced from 3 exons. The record is from RefSeq and is a predicted model, not a curated record. Lineage: Eukaryota; Metazoa; Arthropoda; Insecta; Diptera; Drosophilidae.
GUCUAUUUUCUUCAAUUAUUUCCGAUUAUUGCAGGUAGAAACUUCAAAUCCACAUUAAUUGCUAUUUUACGUAGCUCGAGUCCCCGCACCUCAUCCAGUCGCCAGCCUCCCUACCCUCCCCUGCGUUCAGCGGCUUUAAAGUCGUGGCAGGAAAAAUAACAAACCUGAGCUAUGACUUGGGCUGCAAAAGCGAAAAGAUAGAGAAAAAUUACAGUGGACGACCCAGUCAAGCAAGUUCCAUAUACGAGAGGGUGGGCAAGCGCAAGGUAGCAGCAGGGGAUGUUAGAGGGCGCAGGAGCGGGGGCCGGAAUGAUAAACUGCAAUCGAAGGACGUUGACUGAAUGAUAAAUUACACUUGACAAUGGCCGUUGGCAAACUCUUUCUUAUUCAAAUUAAGUAGAGCCGGAGCUUUACAAAUUAUGCCAAAAACUUGCAAGUUUCUUGAUAAACCAAAUUAAAAACUACAAAAAAAUAUGUGAACAGGCAACAAGUUUUGAUGAGAUUUUCGGUGACUGAAAGAGAGAUCUUGUAGAGAAAGGAAGAGAGAGGAAGAGAGACAGACUUUUGUAAUAGUUGUAUACAAAUAG